This 519-nucleotide ribosomal RNA is filed under the name uncultured bacterium. RNAcentral describes it as "bacterial SSU rRNA". It matches the Rfam family "Archaeal small subunit ribosomal RNA", at positions 345 to 866 of the family's 1478-position model. The record is from RNAcentral.
AACCUCCGCAAUGUGAGAAAUCGCGACGGGGGGAUCCCAAGUGUCAUUCUUAACGGGAUGGCUUUUCAUUAGUGUAAAGAGCUUUUGGAAUAAGAGCUGGGCAAGACCGGUGCCAGCCGCCGCGGUAACACCGGCAGCUCUAGUGGUAGCAGUUUUUAUUGGGCCUAAAGCGUCCGUAGCCGGUUUAAUAAGUCUCUGGUGAAAUCCUGUAGCUUAACUGUGGGAAUUGCUGGAGAUACUAUUAGACUUGAGAUCGGGAGAGGUUAGAGGUACUCCCAGGGUAGAGGUGAAAUUCUGUAAUCCUGGGAGGACCGCCUGUUGCGAAGGCGUCUAACUGGAACGAUUCUGACGGUGGGGGACGAAAGUUAGGGCGCGAACCGGAUUAGAUACCCGGGUAGUCCUAACUGUAAACGAUGCGGACUUGGUGUUGGGGUGACUUUGAGUUGCUCCAGUGCCGAAGGGAGCUGUUAAGUCCGCCGCCUGGGAAGUACGGUCGCAAGACUGAAACUUAAAGGAAUU